Molecule: ribosomal RNA, 484 nt
Filed under: uncultured bacterium
Lineage: Bacteria
Description: partial 16S ribosomal RNA
Rfam family: Bacterial small subunit ribosomal RNA
Source: RNAcentral
AUUGAACGCUGGCGGCAGGCCUAACACAUGCAAGUCGAGCGGAAGCAGGGAGCUUGCUCCCGCAUUCAGCGGCGGACGGGUGAGUAAUGCCUAGGAAUCUGGCAGGUCGCGGGGGAUAACGUGCGGAAACGGGCGCAAAUACCCCAACCGUCCAUAGGGCGAAAGUGGGGGAUCUUCGGAUCUAACGCCUUCAGAUGAGCGUAGGUCGCAUUAGUUAGUUGGUGGGGUAAAGGGAUACCAAGGCGACGAUCCGAAACUGGUCCGAGGGGAUGAUCAGUCACACUGGAACUGAGACACGGUACAGACUCCUACGGGAGGCAGCAGUGGGGAAUAUUGGACGAGGGGCGAAAGGGUGAUACAGCCAUGCCGCGGGGGGGAAGAAGGUCUUCGGAUUGGAAAGCGCUUUAGGUUGGAAGGAAGUGCAGUAAGUUAAUACCUUGCUGUUUUGACGGUACCAACAGAAUAAGCACCGGCUAACUUCGUG